RNAcentral lists this long non-coding RNA (12115 nucleotides) under Daucus carota (carrot). RNAcentral describes it as "long non-coding RNA (DCAR_LNC002319)". The record is from RNAcentral. Lineage: Eukaryota; Viridiplantae; Streptophyta; Magnoliopsida; Apiales; Apiaceae.
AGCUGUCCCAAUACAGACAUUCAGUUUUAAACCACUAGAAAGGACUUAAGUAAAAGAUAGUAGUUUGAGUUAUUAGACAGGUUGGUCAUAAUGUAAUUUGCUGUAUAUACAUGCAUAUGCUCUGCUUAUAUAUCUAUUAGUCAUCUUUCAGAUUCGCACGUCUUUUAUAUAUAUGCAUUUGUAAGAAACGGAUUGUGAUCGAUGAUAAUGGAAUAACUUUUGAAUCACAUUUACCCUGAGAAAGGAAUUUUCAAUAAGUACUCAAAUCAUCCAACAUUACAGAAAUAAACUCCAAAGCUAUUAUACCCUCCGAUCUGUGGGAGAAGAACUACAUCUUAGUGUGCAGUGAGGUAUCUUGUUCACGGAUCGUCUAACAAACCUUGAUAUUAUUUUACAAUCAUUUAAUUCGGACAACAUGUUCUUGCACUCCUGUACAAGUCUACCAAUGUAAGAUAGCUUAGUUGAUGAGCUUAUAAUAGCUUGUACAGCUAACAAACAGUGAGUUUCAAUUUCACACUUGAGUUACCCAGCUCAAUGCCUCCCUUAUGCCCAAAACUUCUGCCAUCUCGGAAUACCUUACCUUGAAUACACCGGGACAAAGCUUCAAUUGGUUCUCCAUUAUGGUUGCGUGCUACUAACGAGUAAACUACAGGAAUUAGAUGCUUCAUAGAUUGCAUAUGCGCUUUUUACAAUACCAAGAAUCAGGUUCGUUGUAGUCGGUAGGGGUUAAUAUAAUAAAGUUGUAGUAUCUAUUCCCGAACAUAUCAGCUAGUAAGUCUACAUCCCAUUGAUUCUGCUCAGAGAGAAAUAAUUAACGAGGAAACUAUUUUACCUUUCAGAGCAGCAUUCAUUGUCUGAAUGUAUGGAUUUUGCGUCUAGCAACCCAAAACACUAUAAAAGCUUUAACUUUCUGUUUCACACGCUCACUAAUUUCCCAUAUAAAUUUUGUAUGUAAUCUUGAAGCAUUAAAGCCCGAACGGGAAUUUCUUGCCACCAAGGAAGUUAUGACCAAUUUUAUUAAAGUUUUCCGAAACAGGGGAUUGGGGUAGAUAUACAUUCACAUCUAUUACUCAAGAAAGAUAUGAGCAAUGCGUCCGAAAUAAAUUAAGAGAUAGAUAUUGGCCACAAAAAAUACUGAAAUGUCUCUGAGUUCAGUAUUGGGUGAGGUAGGUCGGAUUCUUCACAGACACAACUUUGCUUCUGCACGUUACACAACAUUGAUUCCAGACCUAUUAUUUUCAAACAUCUCACAAAGUGAUCUUAUAUUUAACAUGUUUCAUACUCUUACCCUAAGAUUUGUUCCACGAAACGAUGAAAUACAUUCCACUUUAAAAGUGGAGAGAAUUUAAAUCAGAUUCAGAUUGUUCAAAAUGUGAUAGGUACAGGAAAGGCACAGAUCAAUGAAACUGUCUCUGUAUAUUUCCCAGAAACAUGAUACAUAUAUGUUAUUAUUGUAAGAAAACAACUCCUCCACAUUUUAACCUCGCAACACUAAAAAGUAGUCCCACCAGAAAAUUCUUUGCUAGCUUCUGAAUCUGACAUCUGCAAAAAUGUUUAUAGGCUGAUUUAGCAUAUUGAAUAUAAAUACAUAUAUCAACCUAUAGUUGGCCACCUUAUUGGUAGCUACUAGCUAGUAGAAUGAUGAACAGUCUAAGUUAGAACUGUAGCUAAAGUCGGAAAAUCAUAUUAUAUUUAUAUACAUAAACACUAGUGUAUAGAAAAGCUCUCUUUCAUUUUACAUGAUCAUGUCAAAAACUCACAAACACGAUUAAUGAACUUGGAUCCUAUGAAGGGACGAAUUUGGCACAAGAUAAAGAGUGAUAGCAGUACUAGUGUUUCAUAUGAUUCCAAUAGCACCAGUUCAAUAGUAGAAAAAUUAAAUUUCAGGACGUGAAGCUAAAUAGAAUAUAUUGGGCAUUUUUCAUUAAAAAAAACCUGGACUUCCUGAAGCUAAACGAACCAGCUUGUAUAUGACUUAUGAAUUAAACUGAUAUUGCAUGCAAUGAACAUGAAGGCAUGUAAAAGAAUCCGAAUGGAGAGCUUACCACAUAAUAUUGUCCCAAUCGAGAAAACACCCGCUGCCUCUGGCAUUUGGAAAUCUGUACACAGGACCAUAAACUAUAGCCAAAAAAAAAGUUUGAGAUUGCAAUUUGACUGUAGCUGAAACUAAGUCGGAAAAAUGAAAACGUGUUUUUAAUUUUUAUCAUUCAUAAAUGAACUUCAGUAGACAAAUAUAAUCUUACCUUCACAGCCCUUGACAACUGGAUCUUCUGAUAAAUGAUGUGGUGCAUCCAGGUCAAUGAAUCUGUACGAAUGUAUGUUUAUUCAAGUCAUUAUCAUCUAAAACAAACCAAAUCAACAAAUUUGACCCAACCAGGAAGUCGGAUUUGAGGCUAUAUAUCAUCCCUGGGACCAUCUCUAAACCAGGAAUGUAUGAGGUACAUUAUUUAUUAGAGUGCAGUCGUUUGGAUGGAACUGAUUUAAAUUUGUACUAAUUAGGUCGAGAAUGUGUAUAAUUUGUGUUUCUGUCAUCAUUCAUUUCUAAACUAUUUGAACAAGAAAUCUAAUCCAAAUGAUUUGGAACGAAUGCUUCAUUCCAUUUCUUCCCCGCUUCUUAAAAAUUUAGGCUCGUCCAUGGUGAUUUAGUAUUCUCUCAUACAUUCAUCUUUUUCAUUUAAAUUUCUUUAUUGUUUUCCCCUCCAUUCUCCCAUAAUUCCAUUCCAUAUCCAAGUGAAUGCAACCUUAGAAUGUUACAUUCUUCACAAAAGCAGGUCCUGCCCGUACACUGUAUAAAGUUACACUAAUUUUUAUUUUAUAGUAUAAAUAGGUAAAAUUUAUUCUAAAUGAACAUUUGGCACCAAAUAUGGAGUAUAAUAAUAUUCACUGGAGUGUAAUUUUUAUUAUCAUAAAGUUGGGUUGUUAUUAUAGAGUUACUGUGUUGGGUUGGAUAUGCUCUUAUCAAGUUUAAAAGAAAAUUUUUAACUAAAAUAAAUUGGCUGGCAGAAACCAUGAAGUGGAUGUGAAAGUACAUUUUUAAAUUCCUGAAAUGUUGGAACACCAAUUACUUACUUGAAACAUCCGAGCCCUGCAGCAAGGUUACCAGCAAAGCCCAUUGCAAUUCUAGUCUCAACCAUUCCACCAAUCAUCAAAUGCAGGCCAGAUGCAAGUGCCAACUCAAUUACUUCAAGGGCGCCUAGUACCCCUAGUUUGGCAAGCUUGAUGUUUAUGACAUCUGCUAGAUUUUCUUCAACUAUCUUCUUUAAAUCAGCUAAACCCCGACAACUUUCAUCAGCGGCAAUGGACACCCCGUAUUUUUCUUUUGCAAUCUUAGUAACACGACCAAGACCUUCCCAAUCAUCCUUGUGAACUGGCUGUUCAAAAAGAGCUGGAGUCAACUUCAUCUCUGCAAAUAUAUUGAAUUCUUAGAAAACCAAACAUUAUAAAAAAAAUUGUAACAACAGCAUAGAUUAGUUUUGACAAAAGUCAAAUUCCUACCAUGUAAUGUCUCAAGAACCUGAAUAGCUUCAGUAGAGGUGUAACCUUCAUUAGCAUCUAAGAUAAACGCGCAAUCAGGGUGGGCGGCACGUAUUGCUUGAAGCACUUCAAUGUCUGCUUUCAAAUUCUUACCCACCUUAAGCUUCAAGGUUUUAAAUCCCUUUUCGCGAAACUGUGAAGCCAAUUGAGCAGCUUCCACAGAAGAAACAAUUGGAAUCUAUGCAUAAAAAAUUUUCAUAUGCAGUUACAAAUUCAAUAGAUAAAUUAUAUGUUUAUGUUAGACAGUAAUUACAAGAAAAAACUGUAACAUUGCACAUCAAUUUGAUAUAGGCCCUACCCUUCCAGGUUAUUGGUUCUAAUAUGGGCUCAACAUUGACACUAUAAGAGAAGGGGUAAUAAUAACAUCAUGAGCAAUGUUCAACCAACUAGUGCCAAAGUAUGUUUAUGAAUCAACUUAUACUUUAAAGACUCCUAAAAAACAUCGAUAGGAUAAAAACUACUACAAAGAAAUAAACAGAAACUGACUGUCAUAUCUGUGGUUAUUGUGUUUGAAACACCACCAAACAAUCUCCACAAAGGCUUGCCAACGCUAUAAGAAACUGCAUCAAUCAGAGCCAUCUCAACUCCUGCUCUAACCUUCAAUUAAUCAAACGAAAAUAUAUAACUAGAAAUGCAUAGAAACUCAAAGAUAAUCUCCAAAUACUAAAAUUAAUUCAAAAGAUAUAUAUAACACAUAUAUGUCCAUAUAUAUAUAAUAACUUGAAACUCUGUGCCACUUACCGAAGCAAAUGCAUGCCCUUGUAGAAUGCUACCAACCUUUCCCAACACCAAACCCAGAGUCAUAGGAGGACUCCUCUUCAAAGAUUCACAUGCUUCCGCAACCUUUGACAUAGCCAACGGCUGAUCCUCGGCAGUUAUAGGAGGGAGAAUAGGAGCCUCACCCCACCCAACACAUCCAUCAAACAACUCAAUCCUGAUAGCCACAUUACCAACUUUUUCAAUCCUUACAGUUGCAGCAGUAAUAGGGGAAAUCAAAGGGACAUUUAAGGCUUUUCCUUCUGCCUUCUGCACGUCAACUAUGAAUGUCUCUUUCAAAUUCUUGAACCCAGAAUUUGCAUCUGUCGCCAUUGUCCUCCGAUAUAUCAAAAAUGUUUAGCAGACAAGAUAUUACACUAUAUGUAUUUAUAUGUUUUUUUCGGAGUGGUGUAAGUGCACACAUACAUAUGCAACGACCAGGUGCAUUCUCUAAUUUUAAUCAGGGUAAGGAAUGAGUUGGAUCCCAAUAAACUUAUAAGAAAACUAUAACACUAACAGUCAAGGGAUAUUAACAAAAACAGACCGAUCGACAACACAUUUUACCUACCUCUGUUAGAUUUCCUGGUAAACAACCUGUUUCAUUGAUAGUUUUCAUCUCAGUGAAGCCCCUCAAGAAGCUUUUCUUGCUUGUACUCUGCAACCUUUCCUUGUUUUCCUAGAAAGAAAAUUACAUGAAACACAACAAUUAAGGAACUAAAAUUAAUAAAUAAUGACACAACGAGGAAAAAAACUUAGGAGAAAGUUCUUCCAAUUUAGAAAUCUUAACACAGUAACACACCAAAAAGGCAAGGAUAUAUAAAGAACUUGUACAAAUUAUCAAGGAAACAAGCCAGUGAACAACCAUUUUGGGUUAUUAAUGCCUAAUUCGCAACUAAGAACAAUAAUAAGUUUUACUUACAAGAGUAGUUAAAGUUCCGCAAAUUAGUUACAGUAUUAUUUACCUAUUCACUGAACAAGCUAUCCCACCAAGUAAAGUGCUAAUAUAUUUUCUGGAAAUAUUACACAUAUCUUCACUUACAAUAGUUGUUGCAAAAACUGCGAAUUAUGUUUAGUAAUUCAUUCAUGAUAAAUCAACCACCACAUGAAGCCAUACUCCACGUCUCCAACACUGCAAUCUAUAGCAAGCAGCCAUGCAAUCUCACUCAUCAACCCUAAUUAAAAACUUUAUUGCAUGACCUAAUUACUAACUUCAAUGAUCAAGAAAUCGGUCAUUCUUAAUUUGUGAUGUAUAUCAAGUGAAAAUCGCAAAAAAGAAAAAUAGACAAGUUACCUAGCAGACAAGUAAUUGCUUUUGGUAUUGCAGCUUGGCAACACAUUCGUUGAGCUCUGUUACAUAUUGCCUUAUACUUCUAACAUACUCUUCAGCUGCGUUUUGUAACAUCUUUUGCAUUUUCUUCAUGUUAACAGAACUUGUACGGCGAUAUGGAGUACCUUCCUUUGAUGAAACAUCACCAGCAUCCUCACUCUUUAGUGGAGCAUCUUUUCCCGAAACUAAUAGAGUUUGAUUAUAACAAUCAGCUAUUGCUUCAUAGGCUUUUGUGUUUACAGAAUUUUCUUUUCUCAUUCUGAAACUGUUAGAACCAUAAAUAGUAUUGAAUUACAGUAUUCUUCUUGCCUUUGCAGCAAUACUCCUAAAAUAUAGCAAAUGUACAAAGCUAUCGAUUAUAGACUACAAUGCAGGUAUGCAUAUUUGUCACUUCAGAGUAUACAUAUCCAUCACUUUUUUUAAAGAAUGCAGGUCCCAGAACCUUGUGUGCCUGAAUAAUUGGUAAUACACAUGACAGAAAAACAAUUGACAUAACAAUAUUGUUCAUUUGACUGAAAACAGAGACACAUUAGCUGGUCUUGUAGAACAUUUUCAGAUACAUAGAAUUUCCUGUAUAGCAGCUGGACUUGUAUUUGAUGUCUGGACUACACUGCUUGGAUGACUGGCUGGAGUCCGAAUACCAAGAGGUAAAUAGGAACCUACAUUGUAAUUAAAAUAAAAAAGGGAUUUACAUAUGUACUUGUAUAAAAAUUAUGGCAUUGAGAGUAAUCAUCAGAAGGGGGCUUCAUAUUUUAAACAUACGUGAUGAUUGAGCUGAAUUUUGAAAAUCACGGCUAAGAUGACUGGCUGGAAUAUACCAGUGCGUCCAGUAGAAAUCUGAAUAGUGUUCUGAUCACUGUUUUCACCCAAAUAAGAACCAGUUGUUUCAGCAAAUCAUUUCUAAGUUAGUUCUCUUAGCUCAAGGCCAAAUUAUACACAACUGAUAAAGAUAGCAAUGCAAGACCAAGAAAAGUUACGCUAAUUCAUUAUGUUAUAAUUUUAUGUGCUUUAUUAAACAAAAUUUUAUUCAUUUGAAUGACUUGCUCAAGGGCUUUCAAUUCAUGUGCAUGUAAAUUGUAAUUACUCUGACUUGUCCUUGAUCUCCAAUGGAGAAACUAUGUUCUACGCUAAUGAGUAUGGAAUGCAUAUAGAUCCAGGGGGAAGUAAAGCAUUAUAAGUAAUGGAUUAGAAUCUAAAUCAAGAAUAAGAUUGGCCGUGCCUAUUCAUUGGACAAAAAAUAUUCUCCUAGACUAAAUUCCAAUUUCGGUUUCUCAUAAUUUUAGUUAGUUGUAUCCAAGUAGUUCCAAAAAGAUUGAACUAUAAUAUCAUAUAUCUAUAUAGCUUCUGCUCAAUUUAUGGUGAGAUCUUUAUAGUUUUGUGCUUGAUUCUCUUGUUCUUCCGUUCUAUAUCGACUGCUUCAUUAAUUUGCGACUGGAUUUAACUGAAAUGUCUAUUAAGUGAAUACCAAGCAAGACUUUUAUUUCUACAAAGAAAACCGGCUACAGCCUAAAGAUUACAAAUUUCCUUAUUUCUUAUUUUAUGUAUGUUAGAUCAAGGAUAUAUUUAGGUGUUACCCAUGAGAUGCUAUCAAUAAAUUGCUCAACUACUCGUAAUUAAUAAUUCUAAACAUCUCAUUACAUGUCAAUUACACCAAAAUCCACACAUCCAAAAUGGCUUUCUUAAAGAGUAUCCUUCCCGAAUCUAUGGCAUUCUUACACUUUUACAUGUUGAGGAUCCUAAUUUUAACUCAUUCAAGUUUGUUUGUGUUACUUUCAGUUCAAACAUUAGAUCACAACUGUGUUCUACAUCACAAAGGCAUAUGAACAAAUAUUAUGCAUACCAAUAUACAGAACAGAACAACAAUGUCAAACAAAUAUACAGAGGUAGUUUGUUUAGCAUUCUGAAGUGUCACUAAAGCAAACAAAAAACCCUAAUACAACUGGAACAUACCAGUGCGUCCCGUAGAAAUCUGAAUAGUGUUCGGAUCACUGGUAUGUGUUGAAGAAGAAGAUAGAGGACCCAAAGGAACGCGCUUACAACCUAUUUGUGAUUAAAACAAAAACUUACAAUAUGAAGAACUUACCAAACAUCUAGGACAGAGAGGAGAAAACGACACACAAUCUGUAGAGAGUUACCUCUAGUUUCCAUUGAUUACAGUUACGCAGAGUUGAUUUCGUAAAGAUUUAAAAUUUAAAUUGAAGAAGAAGAAGCGGUAACAGCAUCUCCAAUGGUGCUCUUAAAUCACUCUUUAAAAUAUAAUAUAAUAUUUGGCUCAUAGUGAAUUAAAACAUUGAAAAAGAUUUCAACUCCAAUGCUCUUCUUUGUACAUGCUCCUUAUUCAUAUUUUAUGCAUAUAAAUGAGAGGGAAAAGUAAAAAGAGAGAGAUGUUGGAGGUAAAGUUGGAGGGAACUAAUAUUAUAUUCAUGAAAAAAAGUUAAGAGCUCUUACAUGCUCUUUAAAAGAGAGGAGAGAUGAUGAGCUCUUAAAUUUUUAAAGAGCUUUAAGGAGCCCAUUUGAGCUCUAAUUUUUGCUUUGCUCUUUAAAUAUGAAGUUAAGAGCUUAUUUAGAGAGUCCCUCGGAGAUGCUCUAAACAUGAAAAAAACUAAACUGUGGCUAGAAUCACCUUUUGCUAGAAAAUGGCCCCAAUCUCAAGUAUUCUUGAGUUGGGGCCCAAAAUAACAGAAUUUAAAAAAUUGGCCCACAAUCUAGAGUUUUCAAUCAUCAAUAUACUUAUAUAAAGGAGAAGCGAGGGGCGUGUAGGUGGCGCGUCUCAUAUCGCUCCGUUCUAUUUUUCUAAUUUUCUGGAAUUUUUGGAUAAAAAAUAUCAAAAUUUAGAAUUACCUUUUUUAGAUUCGGGUAUAUUACAAGCAAGUUUCAGAAUCUGAUUUUGUUUAGGUGGCGUGUCUCACAUCGCUCCGUUCUAUUUUUCUAAUAUUCUGGAAUUUUUGGAUAAAAAAUAUCAAAAAUUAGAAUUACUUUUUUUAGAUUCGGGUAUAUUACAAGCAAGUUUCAGAAUCUGAUUUUGUUUCAAAUUAUUUAUGGAAUAUAGUAACUUGAUUAUGGAAUAUAGUAACUUGAAAGUUUUAAUCUGAUUUUGUUUCAGAUUAUUUAAUUAUGGGAAAAAGUAGCACACAAGUCUCUCUGCAUCUAUAAAUACCCCUAUAGUUUAUAGGGUUUUGGAUCAUCUAAACACAACCUCCUCCCUCUCAAUACCACAACCCUACCUCUUUCUGGUGAUAGUUCUUUUACUCGAUUUCUAACUCGGUGGUGCCGUUCUUCUGCAACGAUAAGUGAAGGUUGUUUAUACAAUAUUAAAAAAAUAAAGGUUGUUGUAAGCAAAGGUAGUUAUAGACCGCUAUGUUGGAGUCGACAAAUCCAAACACGGGAAAAGAAUAUAGUCUUGACAUGAUAUUGAUGAAUGAUAUCAAUAAAUUAACUAUUAGUGAGAUAUGUUUGUUGGUUAUUCUUUUAUAAUAUUUGUUUUGUUCAUCGGGCAUGUUUGUUGUUGUUAAUUUUUAUAUGAUUUACUUUGUAUAAAGAAAACAAUUAUUCAUGCAUUAUUUGUUUGCUCCGUUCAAGCAACUUUUAAGUGAAGGCUAUUUAUACAAUAUUAAAAAAUAAAGGUUGUUACAAGCAAGGGUAGUUAUAGACCGCUAUCUCAUGGAUUUAAGUUAAAUGUUUUUGUGCACAAUCAUCCAAAAAAAUCGGAGGAAGGUGAUAAUGUAAGAACAUGAUUACUUAAAAAAAACCACAAAUAAAAUUAAGAUUCGUCGUGUUUUAAAUUGUUAACUACGUGUUUAAAUUUAUUUUCAUAUUUUCAUCAUGAAUUAUAGUCCAAUUUUGCAAUUUUAUAUAUCAAUAUUGGUAUUAUAUCAAGAUUUUUAUAAUAUAAAAUUUAUUUAUUCUAUAAAUAUUAAUUUUGAAACAUUAAUAUACCUUUUAUAGACAACCACAAAAUUAUUUUAUUUUACAAAUAUUAAUAUUGAAUCAUUAAUAUAAUUUUUAUAGGCCGCCGGCGCCGCAACGCGCGGCUUCUCAACUAGUUUUAAGAUGAAAACUCGAUCGUAUAGAGUUUUGCGUCGUAUAAGCGUUUGUUAGGUCUAUAUCAUAAUAUUUAGGGCAUUAACACGCCCAACCCCAUUUGUGUACUCAGAGCUUUCUUCCAAUAUAACCCAUUUAAGCACAGAUUAUUCAUGAAACUAAUGUAUAAAACAUAUAUAAGACCUCCCAAGAUUAAUAUAAAAAUGUAUAAAACAUAUGGAACCGGAUACGGGUCUGGUCCGGAUUAAAUAGGUCUAUCCGCGAAUUCAAUAAAAAGACAUGUCUGUCCCUAAGUGGUGUGUUAUGUCCUCGAGUGGUGUGUUAUGAAUAAAAUAAAGAAGGGCAUAGUUUGUCUUUUGACAAAUCCUUUGCAUCCAUGAAUUAGAUUAUAGAUAGAGUUUUACUCCAAUGGAAACCUUCUUAAUCUAGAAACUAAAAAUCAAACUCGAAUAUCACUGAAUCCCAAAGCAAAUACCACUAAAUUCUUAAACAACUCCAUCUCCACUUCCAUCUUCACCAACCCCACCUCCAUCUUCACCAACCCCACCUCCACAUCCGCCACUACCACCACCUCUGUCGUCGCCUCCUCCAUAACCACCACCACCUCUAUGCCGCCCGUCCACUCCAUAACCAUGCACCACCUCCAUUAUUUCUUUAACAACACAAUCUCCACCUCCAUCUUCACCAGCCCCAUCUUGGUUGCUGCUUCAACCUCCUUCAGCCCCGUUCAUACUUCUUUCGCCACCUCGGCUCAACUUCAAAACGCGGUGGAGCCGCCACUAUUCCGGCAACGCUCCAAUCCCCUACUUCAAGCCGCCCAGACCUCCGCUACAAACAUCCCUCCUCCGUCUCCACCUUCACCUCCACCAUCUGAAUCGAAAACAUGAACAGAUCUGAAGAUUCUGAGCAGUUUCUGGAACAUAUCUGGAGAUUCUGGGCAGUUUCUACUAGUUUUCACUAAUUUUUGCAACACAUACACUAAAUCGUAAAGAGAAUAUCACUAAAUUGUACUGAAAAUAUCACUAACUUGUAUUGGUUUCUAAUUUUUAUUUUAAGAGUGGUUUCUAUUUGAUCAUGAGCCUAUAUAGAUAUAUAGAUUAGAAUACAUAUAGAUAUUAGAUAUAUAUAGAUAGAUAUAUAUAUAGAUAGAUAUAUAGAUAAACAAAGCCUAUCGACCAGGAAAAUAAAGAGAAAACAGGUGAUGAAGGGCGUGUUUUGCACUAUGAGUAAAGAUAAAGGGCGUGUUUGGCUUUACCCGGGGUUUUUCGUUUGAAUAUUCAUUCUGGGCCCGUCUAAACAAUUCGCAUUUCUUUUCAGUUUUUCACUUUAAAACAAAAAAUAAAUGUGUUGACAUUGUUGAAUGUUUUACUACUUUCGACCCUGGAAAUUGAUUGCUUGGAUCCGUCAUGUAAUAAUUAGUUCUUCAGUCGUUGAAUUUAGUGACCAAUGGUCAGAAUUUAAACAAAAUAUUUAGCACGUCUGGUGCUUUUUUAUUAUACAUUGAAAUUUUUUUCAAGUGCCAGGCGGUUUUUUUCUCUAAACACUGAAAUUUAUUUUUUGUAGAUGAUUUUUGGUCUUCAAAGAUGUUUCAGCAUUGCACUGUUGGUCUGCAUUGCUUGGAAGAGACAUGACAAAUUUUUCAAUCGACUUCUGAUCAUUUUCAAGCUGCUCCUCAAGCUCUGCAAUGUUACUUCCUUCUGAGUGAAGUCUGGUUAUUUCAUUCUUGAGGUUGGCACUGAUACUUUUGUUAACAGAAACAACACUUUCGACUUCAACUUCUUUAGGAGCUGGUCGAACUGCACACAUGUCUCUAAUUUCUGCUUGUAGCUUAGCAAUUGUUUCUGCAGCAUCCUGGUUACCUUGUCUAUGGCAAGCCACCUCUUUCUGCAAUACUUCCAGUGCUCGAUUUGCUUCCUCACCAAGCUGUUCCUGGAGGUGUUCAAGCUUUUUGAUCUCAUGCAUGAGUGUGAAUGGAGCAGUGGAGGACUGCCUCAUGGUCUGUCUUGCCAUUGUAUUUUUUGACUCAGAAAAAUUUAAAUCUCUUCUCUCUGCCUGUUUUACAUUUACAACUAUACUCAUUAACUUCCCCAAUACAGACAUAUUCAGUGUAAACCCUGAAGAUCACUUAAGCAAAAGAUAGUAGUUUGAGUUAGUAGACAGGUUGGUCAUAAUGUUUUGCUGUAUAUACAUGCAUAUGCUAUGCUUAUAAAUCUAUUAGUCAUCUUUCAGAUUCACACGUCUUUUAUAUAUAUGCAUUUGUAAGAAACAGAUUGUGAUCGAUGAUAAUGGAAUAACUUUUGAAUAACAUUUGCCCCGAGAAAGGAAUUACUCAAAUCAUCCACACAGAAAUAAACUCCAAGGUUAUUAUACCCUCCGGUCAGCAGGAGAAGAACUAUAUCUCACUGUACAGUUAGCUAUCUUGUUCACGGAUCAUCUAACAAACCCUGAUAUUAUUUU